ACCAGACUCCUACGGGAGGCAGCAGUGGGGAAUAUUGCACAAUGGGGGGAACCCUGAUGCAGCGACGCCGCGUGAGCGAAGAAGUAUUUCGGUAUGUAAAGCUCUAUCAGCAGGGCAGAAAAUGACGGUACCUGACUAAGAAGCACCGGCUAAAUACGUGCCAGCAGCCGCGGUAAUACGUAUGGUGCAAGCGUUAUCCGGAUUUACUGGGUGUAAAGGGAGCGUAGACGGCUGUGCAAGUCUGAAGUGAAAGGCCGGGGCCCAACCCCGGGAGUGCUCUUGGAACUGCGCGGCUGGAGUGCAGGAGGGGCAGGCGGAAUUCCUGGUGUAGCGGUGAAAUGCGUAGAUAUCAGGAGGAACACCGGUGGCGAAGGCGGCCUGCUGGACUGCGACUGACGUUGAGGCCCGAAAGCGUGGGGAGCAAACAGGAUUAGAUACCCGAGUA
Molecule: ribosomal RNA, 445 nt
Filed under: uncultured bacterium
Lineage: Bacteria
Description: partial 16S ribosomal RNA
Rfam family: Bacterial small subunit ribosomal RNA
Source: RNAcentral